RNAcentral lists this ribosomal RNA (740 nucleotides) under Salmonella enterica subsp. enterica serovar Kentucky. Its description in RNAcentral is "partial 23S ribosomal RNA". It matches the Rfam family "Bacterial large subunit ribosomal RNA", at positions 591 to 1330 of the family's 2925-position model. Lineage: Bacteria; Pseudomonadati; Pseudomonadota; Gammaproteobacteria; Enterobacterales; Enterobacteriaceae. The record is from RNAcentral.
GGGUGACUGCGUACCUUUUGUAUAAUGGGUCAGCGACUUAUAUUCUGUAGCAAGGUUAACCGUAUAGGGGAGCCGAAGGGAAACCGAGUCUUAACUGGGCGUUAAGUUGCAGGGUAUAGACCCGAAACCCGGUGAUCUAGCCAUGGGCAGGUUGAAGGUUGGGUAACACUAACUGGAGGACCGAACCGACUAAUGUUGAAAAAUUAGCGGAUGACUUGUGGCUGGGGGUGAAAGGCCAAUCAAACCGGGAGAUAGCUGGUUCUCCCCGAAAGCUAUUUAGGUAGCGCCUCGUGAACUCAUCUUCGGGGGUAGAGCACUGUUUCGGCUAGGGGGUCAUCCCGACUUACCAACCCGAUGCAAACUGCGAAUACCGAAGAAUGUUAUCACGGGAGACACACGGCGGGUGCUAACGUCCGUCGUGAAGAGGGAAACAACCCAGACCGCCAGCUAAGGUCCCAAAGUCACAGUUAAGUGGGAAACGAUGUGGGAAGGCUCAGACAGCCAGGAUGUUGGCUUAGAAGCAGCCAUCAUUUAAAGAAAGCGUAAUAGCUCACUGGUCGAGUCGGCCUGCGCGGAAGAUGUAACGGGGCUAAACUGUGCACCGAAGCUGCGGCAGCGACGCUUAUGCGUUGUUGGGUAGGGGAGCGUUCUGUAAGCCUGCGAAGGUGUCCUGUGAGGGAUGCUGGAGGUAUCAGAAGUGCGAAUGCUGACAUAAGUAACGAUAAUGCGGGUGAAAAGCC